Molecule: long non-coding RNA, 2980 nt
Organism: Chlorocebus sabaeus (green monkey)
Lineage: Eukaryota; Metazoa; Chordata; Mammalia; Primates; Cercopithecidae
Source: RefSeq, a predicted model, not a curated record
GGAACAGAGCGAGACUAGGUCUCAAAAAUAAUAAUAAUAAUAAAAGAUAGAAGCAACUCAACUGUCCAUCUUUGUCCAAUGAACGGAUAAAGAAAAUGUGAUUUAUACAUAUAAUGGGCUAUUAUUGGAUGGGAUUAAUUACUUAAUACUAAUGGAAUAUUAUUCACCCUCCAUUCAGUGUGCCUCCUCUCACUUUAUUAUGCCAAUCAUUCAGUCCUAGCCCCAUCAGGAUCCAGCGCUUGCCCUUCCAGGCCAAAGAGGCAAAAAAGUGGCAUGACUGUGGUCUCUGCAGGCAUCCUCCAUCAACACAGAUCCUGGCCUCAAGAUUUCAUUCUUCCCCUUCUCCCUCCCUGACCUGUCUUGUAAGUGGAAGAUAGGAUUUAUUUUCCCACUGAGGUAGACUGUGCCAACCCCAUCAGAGGUUCCUACAGUGAGAUUUGGUGCAAAAUGACACAUUUUUUCAACCCUUUUUCACAAGAUACCAUGUCUGUCUACAAAACUGUCUCUGGACUGGGGCAAAAUGCAUUAAAUCAGUGGGGUGUGAGAAAAUCAGUAAAUAGUGUGGGAGGAAAAUAUUCGAACAUUUAUAUUUCUAUAUAAAAAUAAGAAAUUAAACUAUGAGUGUCUGGACGGAGAGAGGAGGGAAACAAAGAACAAAAGGGACUAAGACGGCGUAUUUCCGGGUUCUUCAUCACCAACUUUCCCGCGCCCGGGAAAAGACACAGGUCAACUGCGCAGGUGCAACCUGACGACCCACCGAGGAAACCGAAACCUACCUGGCCGCGCCUACCACACGGCCCCCAGCCCGCCCAUGUCCGGCCUACUGCCCUUCCACGCCCAGGCCCAAGACAUAAAGCGGCUCCGGGCAGACACGCGGCGCGAACUUCCUCGGCCUCUCCUCAUAUGCGGACCCAGGAACUUCCCCCGAGAAACGCCGGAGCGACUUCCUCGGCCUCCGCCGCCGGAGACCGGUGAACUUCGCCCUUUCUUCUUUCACAUUGGCUAGCUAAUAAAGUUUCUUUUUACUUUGCCUACUUGCCUUUUCUCUGGCGCCCGCUCUGGUGGCCGCACAAAACAAAUCAGGUGGUGCCGAACCCGGGAGGAGACCCCUCCUCAGGGCCCCCCCAAGGUCCGAGGAGCCUCCUCCUUCCACGUCGCGGACGGACCAGGACCUAGACAUCGCUUUCCACACCUCCAUGUCACCUGGGGGAGAAACAUUGGAAGUCUGAUUGCCCCGCCAGCAGGGCAGGCAUUGCGCCUCAACGUGUUGCCUCUCCUCAAAGGCCAGAAGGCUCCUUCCAGCUCCUACACCUGGACGACGACUGACGGUGCCCACACUCGGAGACCCCGGUCACCCUCGCUGAGCCUAGGGUAACUCUACAGAUAGCGGGUAAGCCAAUUUAUUUUCUCAUCAAUACGGAGGCUACCUAUUCUGUUUUGUCAACCUAUGGAGGUCCUAGUCAGCCAUCCACUAUCUCAGUAUUUGGGCUAGACGGUAAACCGUCUAACCCUCGCCAGACCCCAAUGUUAAAUUACUGCCUGGACUAUGCAUGCUUUGCCCACUCUUUCCUCCUCAUGCCCUCUUGUCCCACCCCCUUCUUGGGAUGAGACAUCUUAACCUAACUCAGAACAUCUAUUCCCCUUCCCUUUCUCCAGGUGACCAGGUUCUGCCCAAAGAUCAACACCCUCCUCAAAUUUUCCCACUUCCUCACUAUUCUUCAUCUUAACUGACUUUUCCCUCAUAAACCCCAUAGACACCCUCCUUCCCGACCCAUCCCCCAACCAGUAGGUUUCCCGACUUUUUACUCUCAUAGAAGACCUAGCUUGGCAGGGUGCCCUUUGUGAUUUCAGCAAUGUUGAACUUACCCUCUACACCUUUGUCAUCAUUAUUAUGGCUCACUCUAAUUCCCCUAGUUACUCCUACUAAUCCUAACUUUGUAUGGAGAUUCCUAUAACUGAAACCUGGUCUACAGACAACCAGAUACACUCAGUCAUGCAGGGCACUGCAGAUUAUGCCCCACCCCCAGGGUUGUCACUCUGCCCUCUCCACUCAGGUCCAGGCAGCCAUAGAGGCUUCAGCUGAAAGCUUAGCCUCUUUACAACGUCAGAUCACCUCAGUGGCACAGGUAGCAACACAAAAUAGACAGGCAUUAGAUCUUACAGCUGAAAAAGGAGGGACAUGCCUUUUCUUAGGAGAAGAAUGCUGCUAUUACAUAAACGAGUCAGGUCUAGUUGACACCAACAUCCAAACCCUAAACAGGCUUAAAACAGAACUCAAAAACUACAACACUCCCUUAACCCCUGGUCCACCUAUAUGGUUAUUACCAGUAAUACAACAAAUGCUCCCAUUCCUCAUUCCUAUCUUAAUCCUAUGUCUUAUACUGUGCUUUACUCCCAUUUUAAUAAAAUUUCUCCGAGCCAAAGUGCAAGAGAUCACCCGCGUUGCCUUCAGCCAGAUGCUCCUACAUCCCUAUGUCCAGAUACAAACCACAGACCCUAACUACGCCCCUUAACAGCAGGAAGCAGCCAGACAGACAACGACGCCCCCAAUCACUAUAAUCAAUAAAAGGUUGGACUGUCUGGACGGAGGGAGGAGGGAAACAAAGAACAAAAGGGACUAAGAUGGCAUAUUUCCAGGUUCUUCAUCACCAACUUUCCCGCGCCCGGGAAAAGACACAGGUCAACUGCGCAGGUGCAACCUGACGACCCACCGAGGAAACCGAAACCUACCUGGCCGCGCCUACCACACGGCCCCCAACCCGCCCAUGUCCGGCCUACUGCCCUCCCACUCCCAAGCCCAAGACAAAGCCACUCCGGCAGACACACGGCGCGAACUUCCUCGGCCCCUCCUCAUAUGCGGACCCAGGAACUUCGCCCGAGAACCCCGGAGCGACUUCCUCGGCCUCCACCGCUGGAGACCGGUGAACUUCGCCCUUUCUUCUUUCACAUUGGCUAGCUAAUAAAGUUUCUUUUUACUUUG